Molecule: ribosomal RNA, 497 nt
Filed under: uncultured bacterium
Lineage: Bacteria
Description: partial 16S ribosomal RNA
Rfam family: Bacterial small subunit ribosomal RNA
Source: RNAcentral
GAUGAACGCUGGCGGCGUGCCUAAUACAUGCAAGUCGAGCGAACAGACGAGGAGCUUGCUCCUCUGACGUUAGCGGCGGACGGGUGAGUAACACGUGGAUAACCUACCUAUAAGACUGGGAUAACUUCGGGAAACCGGAGCUAAUACCGGAUAAUAUAUUGAACCGCAUGGUUCAAUAGUGAAAGACGGUUUUGCUGUCACUUAUAGAUGGCUCCGCGCCGCAUUAGCUAGUUGGUAAGGUAACGGCUUACCAAGGCAACGAUGCGUAGCCGACCUGAGAGGGUGAUCGGCCACACUGGAACUGAGACACGGUCCAGACUCCUACGGGAGGCAGCAGUAGGGAAUCGUCCGCAAUGGGCGAAAGCCUGACGGAGCAACGCCGCGUGAGUGAUGAAGGUCUUCGGAUCGUAAAACUCUGUUAUUAGGGAAGAACAAAUGUGUAAGUAACUAUGCACGUCUUGACGGUACCUAAUCAGAAAGCCACGGCUAACUACGUG